Molecule: ribosomal RNA, 364 nt
Filed under: uncultured bacterium
Lineage: Bacteria
Description: bacterial SSU rRNA
Rfam family: Bacterial small subunit ribosomal RNA
Source: RNAcentral
AGCUAAUAGAUACCCAGGUAGUCCACGCCCUAAAACGAUGUCUACUAGUUGUUGGUGGAGUAAAUCCAUGAGUAACGCAGCUAACGCGUGAAGUAGACCGCCUGGGGGAGUACGGUCGCAAGAUUAAAACCUCAAAAAGGAAUUGACGGGGGCCCGCACAAGCGGUGGAUUAUGUGGAUUAAUUCGAUGCAACGCGAAAAACCCUUACCUGGCCUUGACAUGCCACUAACGAAGCAGAGAUGCAUUAGGUGCCCGUAAGGGAAAGUGGACACAGGUGCUGCAUGGCUGUCGUCAGCUCGUGUCGUGAGAUGUUGGGUUAAGUCCCGCAACGAGCGCAACCCUUGCCAUUAAUUGCCAUCAUUUA